RNAcentral lists this ribosomal RNA (465 nucleotides) under uncultured bacterium. RNAcentral's name for it is "partial 16S ribosomal RNA". It matches the Rfam family "Bacterial small subunit ribosomal RNA", at positions 338 to 795 of the family's 1533-position model. The record is from RNAcentral.
CCUACGGGAGGCAGCAGUGGGGAAUAUUGCGCAAUGGGCGAAAGCCUGACGCAGCGACGCCGCGUGCGGGAUGAAGGUCUUCGGAUCGUAAACCUCUGUCAGCAGGGAAGAACGGUCACUGUGCUAAUCAGCAGUGAAUUGACGGUACCUGCACAGGAAGCAACGGCUAACUACGUGCCAGCAGCCGCGGUAAUACGGAGGUUGCGAGCGUUAAGCGGAAUUAAUGGGCGUAAAGCGGUCGUAGGCGGUAUGUCAAAGCAAGGGUGAAAUCCCCGGGCUCAACGGGGGAACUGCCUUUGAUACUGGCAAACUGGAGUGUGUGAGAGGAUAGUGGAAUUCCAGGUGUAGGAGUGAAAUCCGUAGAUAUCUGGAGGAACAUCAGAGGCGAAGGCGACUAUCUGGCACAUAACUGACGCUGAGGAGCGAAAGCGUGGGUAGCAAACAGGAUUAGAUACCCGAGUAGUC